CCUAACACAUGCAAGUCGAACGGUAACAGGAAGAAGCUCGCUUCUCUGCUGACGAGUGGCGGACGGGUGAGUAAUGUCUGGGAAACUGCCUGAUGGAGGGGGAUAACUACUGGAAACGGUAGCUAAUACCGCAUAACGUCGCAAGACCAAAGAGGGGGACCCUCGGGCCUCUUGCCAUCGGAUGUGCCCAGAUGGGAUUAGCUUGUUGGUGGGGUAACGGCUCACCAAGGCGACGAUCCCUAGCUGGUCUGAGAGGAUGACCAGCCACACUGGAACUGAGACACGGUCCAGACUCCUACGGGAGGCAGCAGUGGGGAAUAUUGCACAAUGGG
RNAcentral lists this ribosomal RNA (332 nucleotides) under uncultured bacterium. Its description in RNAcentral is "bacterial SSU rRNA". It matches the Rfam family "Bacterial small subunit ribosomal RNA", at positions 47 to 375 of the family's 1533-position model. The record is from RNAcentral.